UGUGAUGGACGCGAUUAUUAUAACCAUCACGAAAGCAGGCCACUAUCCCAGGAUAGAACCUGCAUACCAAAUAGAUAUUAAUGGAUAUUCAUGGACGCGAUUUUGAUAGAUACACGUCACACAGGCACACCGAUCCAUCGACAGGCCGGUGGGGGGAUUUAAAGGCAGGUUAACACAUGUGAUUCUAUUGAAUUUUCUCUCUUGAAUGUCACGGCGGCCCGGGAGUGUCAAAUCGCAUCCGAUGUCGGCAAUAAGUUUUCUUUUUGCUACUAUUUGUGUUCUUGUUUUCCUUUAAUCCUUUUCGAGAAAAACGAUAUUUAGGUUAUCGCGGAU
RNAcentral lists this long non-coding RNA (333 nucleotides) under Setaria viridis. RNAcentral's name for it is "long non-coding RNA (SVIR_LNC001015)". The record is from RNAcentral. Lineage: Eukaryota; Viridiplantae; Streptophyta; Magnoliopsida; Poales; Poaceae.